This 440-nucleotide ribosomal RNA is filed under the name uncultured bacterium. RNAcentral's name for it is "partial 16S ribosomal RNA". It matches the Rfam family "Bacterial small subunit ribosomal RNA", at positions 338 to 795 of the family's 1533-position model. The record is from RNAcentral.
CCUACGGGGGGCAGCAGUGGGGAAUAUUGCACAAUGGGGGAAACCCUGAUGCAGCGACGUCGCGUGAGUGAUGAAGGAUUUCGGUAUGUAAAGCUCUAUCAGCAGGGAAGAAAAUGACGGUACCUGACUAAGAAGCCCCGGCUAACUACGUGCCAGCAGCCGCGGUAAGACGUAGGGGGCAAGCGUUAUCCGGAUUUACUGGGUGUAAAGGGAGCGUAGACGGCGGUGCAAGCCAGAUGUGAAAGCCCGGGGCUCAACCCCGGGACUGCAUUUGGAACUGUGCUGCUAGAGUGUCGGAGAGGCAGGCGUACUUCCUCUUGUAGCGGUGAAAUUCGUAGAUCUUAGGCGGCACACCAGUGGCGAUGGCGGCCUGCUGGACGAUGACUGACGUUGAGGCUCGACAGCGUGGGGAGCAAACAGGGUUAGAUACCCCUGUAGUC